RNAcentral lists this microRNA (21 nucleotides) under Citrus sinensis (sweet orange). Its description in RNAcentral is "csi-miR156g-5p". Its record names the gene csi-miR156g-5p. Lineage: Eukaryota; Viridiplantae; Streptophyta; Magnoliopsida; Sapindales; Rutaceae. The record is from miRBase by way of RNAcentral.
UUGACGGAAGAUAGAGAGCAC